ACGAACGCUGGCGGCGUGCUUAACACCUGCCCGUCGAACUAUGAUCUCCCGCUUGCGGGGGUGAUUAGUGGCGAACGGGUGAGUAAUACGUGAGUAACCUGCCCUUGACUCUGGGAUAAGCCUGGGAAACCGGGUCUAAUACUGGAUACUACUUCCUGCCGCAUGGUGGGGGGUGGAAAGGGUUUUACUGGUUUUGGAUGGGCUCACGGCCUAUCAGCUUGUUGGUGGAGUAAUGGCUCACCAAGGCGACGACGGGUAGCCGGCCUGAGAGGGUGACCGGCCACACUGGGACUGAGACACGGCCCAGACUCCUACGGGAGGCAGCAGUGGGGAAUAUUGCACAAUGGGCGGAAGCCUGAUGCAGCGACGCCGCGUGAGGGAUGACGGCCUUCGGGUUGUAAACCUCUUUCAGCAGGGAAGAAGCCACAAGUGACGGUACCUGCAGAAGAAGCGCCGGCUAACUACGUG
RNAcentral lists this ribosomal RNA (468 nucleotides) under uncultured bacterium. RNAcentral's name for it is "partial 16S ribosomal RNA". It matches the Rfam family "Bacterial small subunit ribosomal RNA", at positions 29 to 507 of the family's 1533-position model. The record is from RNAcentral.